AGCCUAAGUCCGGAUUAGCUAGUUGGUGGGGUAAUGGCUCACCAACGGCGACGAUCCGUAACUGGUCUGAGAGGAUGAUCAGUCACACUGGAACUGAGACACGGUCCAGACUCCUACGGGAGGCAGCAGUGGGGAAUAUUGGACAAUGGGCGAAAGCCUGAUCCAGCCAUGCCGCGUGGGUGAAGAAGGUCUUUGGAUUGUGUUCACUUUAAGUUGGGAGGAAGGGUUGUAUAUUAAUACUUUGCUAUUUUGACGUUCCCAGAGAAUAACACCGGCUAACUCUGUGCCAGCAGCCGCGGUAAUACAGAGGGUGCAUCGUUAUCGGAAUUACUGGGCGUAAGCGCGCUAAGUGGUUU
RNAcentral lists this ribosomal RNA (356 nucleotides) under uncultured bacterium. RNAcentral describes it as "bacterial SSU rRNA". It matches the Rfam family "Bacterial small subunit ribosomal RNA", at positions 227 to 581 of the family's 1533-position model. The record is from RNAcentral.